RNAcentral lists this unclassified non-coding RNA (210 nucleotides) under fungal sp. Its description in RNAcentral is "partial internal transcribed spacer region". The stretch from base 1 to 46 matches the Rfam family "Eukaryotic small subunit ribosomal RNA", at positions 1786 to 1831 of the family's 1831-position model. Lineage: Eukaryota; Fungi. The record is from RNAcentral.
AAGUCGUAACAAGGUUUCCGUAGGUGAACCUGCGGAAGGAUCAUUAUUGGAUGUUUGAUUUGGAUGUAGUGUGAACGGGAUUGUGUUUGGGGUGUUCCAAUCAUUCAGGUGAUUGAUUGCCCCACUUGUUAACCACCUUACCAUUUCUUGAUUACCUGGGAUCACUCCCAUGGGAUAAAACAACUUUUAGCAACGGAUCUCUAGGCUCUC